This 460-nucleotide long non-coding RNA is filed under the name Monodelphis domestica (gray short-tailed opossum). RNAcentral describes it as "lncRNA (ENSMODG00000035698.2)". The record is from RNAcentral. Lineage: Eukaryota; Metazoa; Chordata; Mammalia; Didelphimorphia; Didelphidae.
GGAAUCCAGAGGGAGGCAGUUGGAGCCAGGGUCUUUGGCUUUGAGACAUCUAUGGAAAAGGAAGCUUUUCAAUUGUGACUGAUCAUCCUGUGGUAGAAAUUGGGCACAGUUGUGGGAUGAGAAGUUGGGGAAGGGGUCCUAGAAGAAAAGAGCAGAAUGUUUCCAGGGAUUGCAGGAGGCCUCAACUAACUAUGGCUGGAACAGCUUCAAACAUGAUCUUCACACAGGAUUAUGCUUUCUGAGGCCCAGUAUAACUGAAUAUCGAAAAAUUGACUAUUCAUGUAUAUAUUUCUUCAGAUCUAUCCAUGAGCCUCAGGUUAAGAACCCUGGAAGUCUUACCUAAAGCUCCAUCCAAUUGAUUCUGUGGCUUGUUCAGGAGAAAAAAUAUACAAGAAUUUUGCAUGAAUUAGGUUCCAGAAAAAGUUAUAACGGGAAUAAAAAUAAACCAGUAAAUUGUACA